Anas platyrhynchos (mallard) is the source of this 1722-nucleotide non-coding RNA. The record is from RefSeq and is a predicted model, not a curated record. NCBI's taxonomy places the organism in Eukaryota, Metazoa, Chordata, Aves, Anseriformes, Anatidae.
CAGAAGUACAGCUUACAUUGAUUUUAGUCAAGUCCUUAGUAACUCAAAUUAAUAUAAUAUAACCCACUGCUUAGGAAAAAAGAAAAAAAAAAGUAAACCAUUGCACUUUUCGUGGGGAGAUGAUCCUCAAGACUAGGAUACUAGGAUUUUCAGAGUUGUCCUCUAAGCAAGCCAUUUCUUUUGGGGGCAGGUGGAGAUAAUCAGUGUCAUGGAAAGUGAGGCCUAAUUAGCCUCUUCUUAUAAAGCUGGGAUUUCUUCACAGUUGUGGUAGACCAGAAAUCUCUAGUAGCCUGGAAAAUGCCUUGGGAGACUCAGAAGUUUUUUCUCAUGCCUGAUGUCAGUUUUGAAGCUGGAGUGAAGCCAGCAGUUUCUGUCUUUACAUAGGUAUUAGUGUAUGUUACAGCAGAACUAUUUUUCAGUGUUGUAAUUACAGUUUGAGUCUGGUUUCUUACCUAAACUAUUAUGAGGAGUAAAUGCAUACAGGACAUGCUUCCUGCAGAACUAAGCUGAAUCUGUCAAACAAUUUAGAAGAGGAAAGUGGCCAAGGUGGAUUACUGGGAGAGACUUAAGAAGCACAAGCGUGGAGGAUAGACAAGAAGAUCCAGAAGGUUGUUCCAAGCUGCUGAUGCAGCAGAUAAACGGACACUUUCCAGGGAAGAAAAGAUAGUGACUGGGAGUUUCAGUUCUGUUAGAUCCACGUCUUGGGAUGUGCCAUCAUGCUCCAGCCUGAGCUCAGGCAUUGCUAAAUUAUGAAAUUCAUAAUCCAGCCCUCAGGGUAAAUCAGCUGCACUGCGUCUUUCAAGAGAUACUGCAGCAGCUCAGGCAGCCAAAGAAUUCAAAACAACAUGUUCAACAUCAGUGGUCUCAGUGAAAAAUGAAAAUCUCCUCACCAAAGAACUUAGAUUAUGCAGAAACAGACUUUUUUUUUGUGUGUGUGUGUUUCAAAAAAAUGCUGAUGAAAAUUCCCUAUUGCUUUUGUGAGGAGGAAAGUUGUCAAAAGGCUAGAAAAGAGAAUGAUGUCAAUAUAUUAAUGGUGUGAUUUGUGACUAGUCUGGAUUGCACUGUAGAUUUUCUGAUUCUUUGUGGUGAUGUGCCCUAAUGUGUCAGGGGCAGUGACAGAAGUGGAGUGGUAUUUUCCCCAUUCUGCCAAGUACAGUACUAUUGCCUUGCUAGAGAAUUUUUACUGCAGGUCCUGAGGAAAAGAGAUUUUGUGACAUUCUGUAGUUUUCUGUUAAGAAGGAGCCCUAGAUUUUGCUGUAAAUUUAAAUUUCACCUCUGUUUCUCUGGACAUUUUAACUACUCCUGCCUCACCUGCCACAAACUCCUCUAGGCAGUCCAGUUUCAACUCAAAGUCUAAUGCAUUCCAGAUUGCUCAGAAGCAAAAGUGCAAACCAGAUCCUUGGAAACCUUUGUGAUCCCAGUGGAUGUCAUGGACAGAGUCCAACUCUACCUCUGCUGAGACACCAAAUUUCAGACUUUGUUCAUAUUCUGUCUAAGUGCAUUUUAGACCACAGCAAAUCAGAAGGCUUAUAAAUCAUUACUUAGCACUGGGGAAUAUCUGAUGGCUUGAGCACUCACAAUCUUGCGGAAUCUGGAAAGAAACACUGUGAAUGAAAAGCUAUUUUUAUAUGGAAAGGAAAAACACUGUGAUAUACAAUAAUUACUUGUGAAUCAUGUAAUUGGCAGUUUGUAAGCAAAAUAAAAGGCAUGCUAUUUUGUUAA